Molecule: ribosomal RNA, 608 nt
Filed under: Taphrina padi
Lineage: Eukaryota; Fungi; Ascomycota; Taphrinomycetes; Taphrinales; Taphrinaceae
Description: SSU rRNA
Rfam family: Eukaryotic small subunit ribosomal RNA
Source: RNAcentral
AGUUGCUGCAGUUAAAAAGCUCGUAGCUGAACCUUGGCCUUGGUUGACCGGUCCGCCUAACGGUGUGCACUGGCUUGACCGAGGCUUUCCUUCUGGCUAGCCUGUAUGGUAUUAAUUUAUUGUGCAGGGGAACCAGGACUUUUACUUUGAAAAAAUUAGAGUGUUCAAAGCAGGCUUAUGCUCGAAUACAUUAGCAUGGAAUAAUAGAAUAGGACGUGUGGUUCUAUUUUGUUGGUUUCUAGGACCGCCGUAAUGAUUAAUAGGGACAGUUGGGGACAUUAGUAUUGAGUUGUCAGAGGUGAAAUUCUUGGAUUUACUCAAGACUAACUACUGCGAAAGCAUUUGUCAAGGAUGUUUUCAUUAGUCAAGAACGAAAGUUAGGGGAUCGAAGACGAUCAGAUACCGUCGUAGUCUUAACCAUAAACUAUGCCGACUAGGGAUCGGGCGAUGUUCUUUUCUUGACUCGCCCGGCACCUUAUGAGAAAUCAAAGUUUUUGGGUUCCGGGGGGAGUAUGGUCGCAAGGCUGAAACUUAAAGAAAUUGACGGAAGGGCACCACCAGGAGUGGAGCCUGCGGCUUAAUUUGACUCAACACGGGGAAACUCACCA